Molecule: ribosomal RNA, 449 nt
Filed under: uncultured bacterium
Lineage: Bacteria
Description: partial 16S ribosomal RNA
Rfam family: Bacterial small subunit ribosomal RNA
Source: RNAcentral
AAUGAACGCUGGCGGCAGGCCUAACACAUGCAAGUCGAACGGAUCCUUCGGGAUUAGUGGCGGACGGGUGAGUAACGCGUGGGAACAUACCCUUUGGUACGGAAUAGCCUCGGGAAACUGGGAGUAAUACCGUAUGUGGUCGAGAGACGAAAGAUUUAUCGCCAAAGGGUUGGCCCGCGUUGGAUUAGGUAGUUGGUGGGGUAGUGGCCUACCAAGCCGACGAUCCAUAGCUGGUUUGAGAGGAUGAUCAGCCACACUGGGACUGAGACACGGCCCAGACUCCUACGGGAGGCAGCAGUGGGGAAUCUUAGACAAUGGGGGAAACCCUGAUCUAGCCAUGCCGCGUGAUCGAUGAAGGCCUUAGGGUUGUAAAGAUCUUUCAGGUGGGAAGAUAAUGACUGUACCACCAGAAGAAGCCCCGGCUAACUCCGUGCCAGCCGCCGCAGUAA